Long non-coding RNA from Leopardus geoffroyi (Geoffroy's cat), 250 nucleotides. RefSeq lists it as uncharacterized. The record is from RefSeq and is a predicted model, not a curated record. Lineage: Eukaryota; Metazoa; Chordata; Mammalia; Carnivora; Felidae. The transcript is spliced from 3 exons.
AAAAAGAAUGCUGACUGUCCAGUAGAAAGGUCAGCAGGCAAUGAGGCAGCAUGGUACCAUUCAAGAAGCACCAGCCUAGGAGACAGAGGACAAGGGACAAGGAAUUUUGCCUUUAUUGCUGCAAGAUAUUGGAAAUUCAUUCAAGGUUUUGGCUUUUUAUGAAUCUGAAUUUGUGGCACCAGAUCUAACUAGAGGAUUUAAUAAAGAGCAAGAGAGACAGCGCAAGCAGGGAAGAGGGACAGAGGAAGAG